CUACUUACUGGCAGGGGUGAUCCAUGAUCACAGGGUGGGUUUGGCCCGGGCGGGCUGUCCAUUGACAUCCGGACUUGCUGAACUCGGUUGAAUUCGACACCGUUCGAUCUCCACUGCACAUUUCUGGUAGUGGGGGACUGCGUUCGCAGCUCUCCC
RNAcentral lists this small nuclear RNA (156 nucleotides) under Neogobius melanostomus (round goby). RNAcentral describes it as "U1 spliceosomal RNA (ENSNMLG00000002607.1)". It matches the Rfam family "U1 spliceosomal RNA". From Rfam's summary of the family: U1 is a small nuclear RNA (snRNA) component of the spliceosome (involved in pre-mRNA splicing). Its 5' end forms complementary base pairs with the 5' splice junction, thus defining the 5' donor site of an intron. The record is from RNAcentral. Lineage: Eukaryota; Metazoa; Chordata; Actinopteri; Gobiiformes; Gobiidae.